RNAcentral lists this ribosomal RNA (425 nucleotides) under Orsolobidae gen. n. 1 sp. NCP-2017. RNAcentral's name for it is "partial 16S ribosomal RNA". Lineage: Eukaryota; Metazoa; Arthropoda; Arachnida; Araneae; Orsolobidae. The record is from RNAcentral.
CACUUUUAGAGAUAAUUAAAAGCACCACCUGCUCAAUGAAAUUAAAUAGCUGCAGAUUUUCUGUACUAAGGUAGCAUAAUCAAUUGCCUUCUAAAUCAAGGAUAGAAUGAAAGGUAAAACGAAUUUUAAACUUUCUUACAAUUAAAAAACUAACUUAAAAUACAAGUAAAAAUUCCUGUAAAUAAAGAAAGACGACAAGACCCUAUUGAACUUAACACAAGUUAGCUGGGGAAGCACACUAACAAAAUCUUACAGAAAUUUUAAAAAAGAACCUUUUUGAUAUUUGAACAAGUUACCAUAGGGAUAACAGCAUAAUUUAAUUUUAAAGCUCAUAUUUAAAAUUUAGCUUAUGACCUCGAUGUUGAAUUAAUUUCCUUAUAGACGCAAAACAUUAUAAAGGAAGACUGUUCGUCUUUUUAAUAAUU